Molecule: ribosomal RNA, 492 nt
Filed under: uncultured bacterium
Lineage: Bacteria
Description: partial 16S ribosomal RNA
Rfam family: Bacterial small subunit ribosomal RNA
Source: RNAcentral
AGUGAACGCUGGCGGUAGGCCUAACACAUGCAAGUCGAACGGCGGCACAGUAAGAGCUUGCUCUUACGGGUGGCGAGUGGCGGACGGGUGAGGCAUACAUCGGAAUCUACUUUUUCGUGGGGGAUAACGUAGGGAAACUUACGCUAAUACCGCAUACGACCUACGGGUGAAAGCAGGGGAUCUUCGGACCUUGCGCGAUUGAAUGAGCCGAUGUCGGAUUAGCUAGUUGGCGGGGUAAAGGCCCACCAAGGCGACGAUCCGUAGCUGGUCUGAGAGGAUGAUCAGCCACACUGGAACUGAGACACGGUCCAGACUCCUACGGGAGGCAGCAGUGGGGAAUAUUGGACAAUGGGCGCAAGCCUGAUCCAGCCAUACCGCGUGGGUGAAGAAGGCCUUCGGGUUGUAAAGCCCUUUUGUUGGGAAAGAAAAGCAGCAGGUUAAUACCCCGCUGUUCUGACGGUACCCAAAGAAUAAGCACCGGCUAACUUCGUG